ACUAAGCGUACACGGUGGAUGCCCUGGCAGUCAGAGGCGAUGAAGGACGUGCUAAUCUGCGAUAAGCGUCGGUAAGGUGAUAUGAACCGUUAUAACCGGCGAUUUCCGAAUGGGGAAACCCAGUGUGUUUCGACACACUAUCAUUAACUGAAUCCAUAGGUUAAUGAGGCGAACCGGGGGAACUGAAACAUCUAAGUACCCCGAGGAAAAGAAAUCAACCGAGAUUCCCCCAGUAGCGGCGAGCGAACGGGGAGCAGCCCAGAGCCUGAAUCAGUGUGUGUGUUAGUGGAAGCGUCUGGAAAGGCGCGCGAUACAGGGUGACAGCCCCGUACACAAAAAUGCACAUACUGUGAGCUCGAUGAGUAGGGCGGGACACGUGGUAUCCUGUCUGAAUAUGGGGGGACCAUCCUCCAAGGCUAAAUACUCCUGACUGACCGAUAGUGAACCAGUACCGUGAGGGAAAGGCGAAAAGAACCCCGGCGAGGGGAGUGAAAAAGAACCUGAAACCGUGUACGUACAAGCAGUGGGAGCACGCUUCGGCGUGUGACUGCGUACCUUUUGUAUAAUGGGUCAGCGACUUAUAUUCUGUAGCAAGGUUAACCGAAUAGGGGAGCCGAAGGGAAACCGAGUCUUAACUGGGCGUUAAGUUGCAGGGUAUAGACCCGAAACCCGGUGAUCUAGCCAUGGGCAGGUUGAAGGUUGGGUAACACUAACUGGAGGACCGAACCGACUAAUGUUGAAAAAUUAGCGGAUGACUUGUGGCUGGGGGUGAAAGGCCAAUCAAACCGGGAGAUAGCUGGUUCUCCCCGAAAGCUAUUUAGGUAGCGCCUCGUGAACUCAUCUUCGGGGGUAGAGCACUGUUUCGGCAAGGGGGUCAUCCCGACUUACCAACCCGAUGCAAACUGCGAAUACCGGAGAAUGUUAUCACGGGAGACACACGGCGGGUGCUAACGUCCGUCGUGAAGAGGGAAACAACCCAGACCGCCAGCUAAGGUCCCAAAGUCAUGGUUAAGUGGGAAACGAUGUGGGAAGGCCCAGACAGCCAGGAUGUUGGCUUAGAAGCAGCCAUCAUUUAAAGAAAGCGUAAUAGCUCACUGGUCGAGUCGGCCUGCGCGGAAGAUGUAACGGGGCUAAACCAUGCACCGAAGCUGCGGCAGCGACACUAUGUGUUGUUGGGUAGGGGAGCGUUCUGUAAGCCUGUGAAGGUGUGCUGUGAGGCAUGCUGGAGGUAUCAGAAGUGCGAAUGCUGACAUAAGUAACGAUAAAGCGGGUGAAAAGCCCGCUCGCCGGAAGACCAAGGGUUCCUGUCCAACGUUAAUCGGGGCAGGGUGAGUCGACCCCUAAGGCGAGGCCGAAAGGCGUAGUCGAUGGGAAACAGGUUAAUAUUCCUGUACUUGGUGUUACUGCGAAGGGGGGACGGAGAAGGCUAUGUUGGCCGGGCGACGGUUGUCCCGGUUUAAGCGUGUAGGCUGGUUUUCCAGGCAAAUCCGGAAAAUCAAGGCUGAGGCGUGAUGACGAGGCACUACGGUGCUGAAGCAACAAAUGCCCUGCUUCCAGGAAAAGCCUCUAAGCAUCAGGUAACAUUAAAUCGUACCCCAAACCGACACAGGUGGUCAGGUAGAGAAUACCAAGGCGCUUGAGAGAACUCGGGUGAAGGAACUAGGCAAAAUGGUGCCGUAACUUCGGGAGAAGGCACGCUGAUAUGUAGGUGAAGUCCCUCGCGGAUGGAGCUGAAAUCAGUCGAAGAUACCAGCUGGCUGCAACUGUUUAUUAAAAACACAGCACUGUGCAAACACGAAAGUGGACGUAUACGGUGUGACGCCUGCCCGGUGCCGGAAGGUUAAUUGAUGGGGUUAGCGGUAACGCGAAGCUCUUGAUCGAAGCCCCGGUAAACGGCGGCCGUAACUAUAACGGUCCUAAGGUAGCGAAAUUCCUUGUCGGGUAAGUUCCGACCUGCACGAAUGGCGUAAUGAUGGCCAGGCUGUCUCCACCCGAGACUCAGUGAAAUUGAACUCGCUGUGAAGAUGCAGUGUACCCGCGGCAAGACGGAAAGACCCCGUGAACCUUUACUAUAGCUUGACACUGAACAUUGAGCCUUGAUGUGUAGGAUAGGUGGGAGGCUUUGAAGUGUGGACGCCAGUCUGCAUGGAGCCGACCUUGAAAUACCACCCUUUAAUGUUUGAUGUUCUAACGUUGACCCGUAAUCCGGGUUGCGGACAGUGUCUGGUGGGUAGUUUGACUGGGGCGGUCUCCUCCUAAAGAGUAACGGAGGAGCACGAAGGUUGGCUAAUCCUGGUCGGACAUCAGGAGGUUAGUGCAAUGGCAUAAGCCAGCUUGACUGCGAGCGUGACGGCGCGAGCAGGUGCGAAAGCAGGUCAUAGUGAUCCGGUGGUUCUGAAUGGAAGGGCCAUCGCUCAACGGAUAAAAGGUACUCCGGGGAUAACAGGCUGAUACCGCCCAAGAGUUCAUAUCGACGGCGGUGUUUGGCACCUCGAUGUCGGCUCAUCACAUCCUGGGGCUGAAGUAGGUCCCAAGGGUAUGGCUGUUCGCCAUUUAAAGUGGUACGCGAGCUGGGUUUAGAACGUCGUGAGACAGUUCGGUCCCUAUCUGCCGUGGGCGCUGGAGAACUGAGGGGGGCUGCUCCUAGUACGAGAGGACCGGAGUGGACGCAUCACUGGUGUUCGGGUUGUCAUGCCAAUGGCACUGCCCGGUAGCUAAAUGCGGAAGAGAUAAGUGCUGAAAGCAUCUAAGCACGAAACUUGCCCCGAGAUGAGUUCUCCCUGACCCUUUAAGGGUCCUGAAGGAACGUUGAAGACGACGACGUUGAUAGGCCGGGUGUGUAAGCGCAGCGAUGCGUUGAGCUAACCGGUACUAAUGAACCGUGAGGCUUAACC
RNAcentral lists this ribosomal RNA (2894 nucleotides) under Escherichia coli. RNAcentral's name for it is "bacterial LSU rRNA". It matches the Rfam family "Bacterial large subunit ribosomal RNA". The record is from RNAcentral. Lineage: Bacteria; Pseudomonadati; Pseudomonadota; Gammaproteobacteria; Enterobacterales; Enterobacteriaceae.